RNAcentral lists this ribosomal RNA (440 nucleotides) under uncultured bacterium. Its description in RNAcentral is "bacterial SSU rRNA". It matches the Rfam family "Bacterial small subunit ribosomal RNA", at positions 30 to 504 of the family's 1533-position model. The record is from RNAcentral.
CGAACGCUGGCGGCAGGCCUAACACAUGCAAGUCGAACGAGAAGCUAGAGCUUGCUCUAGUGGACAGUGGCAGACGGGUGAGUAACGCGUGGGAAUUUACCCAUUGGUACGGAAUAACUCAGGGAAACUUGUGCUAAUACCGUAUAAGCCCUUCGGGGGAAAGAUUUAUCGCCAAUGGAUGAGCCCGCGUUAGAUUAGUUUGUUGGUGGGGUAAUGGCCUACCAAGACUACGAUCUAUAGCUGGUCUGAGAGGAUGAUCAGCCACACUGGGACUGAGACACGGCCCAGACUCCUACGGGAGGCAGCAGUGGGGAAUAUUGCACAAUGGGCGAAAGCCUGAUGCAGCCAUGCCGCGUGAGUGAAGAAGGCCUUAGGGUUGUAAAACUCUUUCACCGGUGAAGAUAAUGACGGUAGCCGGAGAAGAAGCCCCGGCUAACUCC